AUGCUGCUGCUGAAGAGGUUUGAGUUUGACUACCAGUACAUGACGUAUGUCAAAAUCAACCAAACUGUGAAAGUUCCCUUCACCCUUCAGAUACCAGAGAAUCAGACGUAUGAACUGUACGCGGUUGUGGAUCAUGUUGGAGAUCUGAGAGGUGGACAUUACACUGCAACAAUCAGACCGCAGGACGAUGAGAAAUGGUACCACUUUGAUGAUACAAGGGUCUCAUUGAUGGACUACCAGCCCUUUCAGGUGGAUAACUUUAAGACAUCCACCCACGCUUAUCUGCUUUUCUACAGGAUGAAGAAAGUGGAAGCUGCUGAUACUUGUACUCAGAAUAUCAGAGAGAUGUCUCCUGCUAGAGGCGUCCCAAAAAAAACUCCACUUGGAGAAAAUAGCAAUGAUCCGUGUGAUAGCAAUAUCAGAAAAGAUGAUGUUAUACACAGGAGACCACAGGAGGUUCUGCAGGGCGAUGAUAGCAUUCAAUUCAACCAAGCUGGUAAGAGUAAACAAAACAAGCCAAAAGAUCAACAGCAUAAACAGCAACAAAAGAGAAGAGUUGAUGAGCAUGUACAAUGGAAGGGAGCAUCAGACAGACGAGAACAGGAUCAGAAUGGAAGUUCAGAGCAUUGUACAUCACAGAAAGCAGUAAAAAGAGCUAAAGGAGACAAUGUUGAGGGAGCAGACUCUUCUCUUAGGAGAACAGGAAGUAGCAGCGUGGCGGACAACAGAGGAGAUGGCCGUGUCAAAAAGUCUCAACCAUCAGAAGUGAGAACUGGAUUUAGUGAGGAUGCUGUGGAAGGAACACAUAAUUCAAAGAAGUCAAAAUCAAAUCAUGGAAAGAUAAUUGCGGAUGAAACCAUGAAUGGUGUUCAAGAGAUCACUUUUACAAGGAACAAACAAAUAACAACUGUAGAAGGAAGCUCUCAAGGCAGCAUUAAGAAUUUGGUAGAACAUGAUGAAGGAAAUGCUAAAAUCGAAUCUGAUCCAAAGACAGAUGCAACGGUCACAUUGCCAGAGGCUUUUUGCUUUUUAAAACUGAAUGUCUCGCCUUUAACAGCGUCACAGAAACGCAAAAACAAAAUAAAAAAGAGAAAGAAUGAGAGAGAACAUGUUGGGAAAAAACGUGCUGUGAAAGAGAAAGCUGAGAAGAGAAGAUUCUUGAGGCGUCGCUCUUCCCUUCUGGUGAAAAACAGAAAAAAAAAUAUUUGUGGGUGUUUUUGUUUUUCGCGGAAAAGCCGAAAAACGGCAGAGUGAGACUAAGAAGUUUCAAUGUAUUGAUGAUCGGUGGUGCUGGUUUCUGUUUCCUUUUCAAUGCAAGAAAAUAAAGUCUCAAAGAUCUAUUGCAGCAGUCGGAAAUGGGUUAAUGUAAUGUUUUGAAAAUUGACUCAUAAAUGUUUAAAUUCAAGGAACAAACAGAUGAUAUAUGUGGAUUGAAAGAUCAAAGUUUUGAUGGUUGUUUCUUGCUAUGCUAUUACCCUUUUAAUUUUUAAAUCUCUCUGUCAAGUUGUUGAGAAAUUUUAUUGAGCAAUUUCACUGAAUGCAACAUAUAUCGAAUUUACAUUUUAGAGUGAGAAGUCAAAUGGUCUUUGUAUGGAUAUUUUCUUUUUUUAUUGAACUGUUGAGUGCUACUUUUAUUUAAUUAGGCCUUUUGCUUCUACUUUAACAAAGAAAAGGGGAUUUUAUUUUAGGAUGGACAUUGAAGUAAAAUAACAAUAAUAACAUUUUAAGAAAAAGUUGUGAAUCAUAUAAAUAUGUUGGAUAUUGCAUUGGAUAAUAUUAAAUAUUAAAUGUCAUUUAGCUGACGCUUUUAUCCAAAGCGAUCUACAAUAAGUGCAUUUCAACUAUAAGGAUACAAACUCAGAAGAACAAGAAAGUGCAAUUUCAUUAAGUAAGCCAAUCGACAUCCUUCUAUAGAUAAGAGCUAUUAUAGGUACAAUUUAAGUGCUACAAUUUGUUGUUGGCUUUUAGUCGAGGUAGAGUCUGAAGAGGUGUGUCUUUAGUUUGCGGUAGAAGAUGUGAAGGCUCUCUGCGGUCUAGUGGGGACUGGUAUUGAUCACCUGCUCUGUGAGUCUGUGUUCAGGAUUAUUUGUCAUCCUCCUUUUUCUAUCAACUUUCUUCAUGUUGUUCUUCUGGUUUAACCUCACCUAUGUGCAUCAUGUACAGCAGAGUAUUUGGAAGAUUCUGUGUUUGAUCAGUCUAGGGUCCAAAUGGAAGUUUUGUAUGGAUAUUUCUUUGGUUUACUUAUUUAACUGUUGUGUUUGCUUAGUGCACAAUUACUGUAUUACUGCACUGCCCGCUGAUUCAUAUCAUAGAUGCUUUAGAUUGAUGUUUGUAACUUUGAACCAAACUAUUCUGAUAAUUUGUGAAAUUUGUCAGAUUCUGCUGGUGAUUUUAAGAGAAUAAAGGUAAAAUAAAAAUAAAAAGAGCUUAUGAAAUAUA
Molecule: long non-coding RNA, 2439 nt
Organism: Gasterosteus aculeatus (three-spined stickleback)
Lineage: Eukaryota; Metazoa; Chordata; Actinopteri; Perciformes; Gasterosteidae
Source: Ensembl